RNAcentral lists this ribosomal RNA (497 nucleotides) under uncultured bacterium. RNAcentral's name for it is "partial 16S ribosomal RNA". It matches the Rfam family "Bacterial small subunit ribosomal RNA", at positions 28 to 507 of the family's 1533-position model. The record is from RNAcentral.
GAUGAACGCUGGCGGCGUGCCUAAUACAUGCAAGUCGAGCGAACGGACGAGAAGCUUGCUUUUCUGAUGUUAGCGGCGGACGGGUGAGUAACACGUGGAUAACCUACCUAUAAGACUGGGAUAACUUCGGGAAACCGGAGCUAAUACCGGAUAAUAUUUUGAACCGCAUGGUUCAAUAGUGAAAGACGGUCUUGCUGUCACUUAUAGAUGGAUCCGCGCUGCAUUAGCUAGUUGGUAAGGUAACGGCUUACCAAGGCAACGAUGCAUAGCCGACCUGAGAGGGUGAUCGGCCACACUGGAACUGAGACACGGUCCAGACUCCUACGGGAGGCAGCAGUAGGGAAUCUUCCGCAAUGGGCGAAAGCCUGACGGAGCAACGCCGCGUGAGUGAUGAAGGUCCUCGGAUCGUAAAACUCUGUUAUUAGGGAAGAACAUAUGUGUAAGUAACUGUGCACAUCUUGACGGUACCUAAUCAGAAAGCCACGGCUAACUACGUG